This 485-nucleotide ribosomal RNA is filed under the name uncultured bacterium. RNAcentral describes it as "bacterial SSU rRNA". It matches the Rfam family "Bacterial small subunit ribosomal RNA", at positions 28 to 511 of the family's 1533-position model. The record is from RNAcentral.
GAUGAACGCUAGCGGCAGGCCUAAUACAUGCAAGACGAACGGUAAGUUGAGUAGCAAUACUUAGCCAAGAGUGUCGUACGGGUGCGUAACACGUAUGCAACCUACCCUAUACAGGAGGAUAGCCUAGGGAAACCUGGAUUAACCCUUCAUAGUAUUAUUGGAUGGCAUCAUUUGAUAAUUAAAACUGAGGUGGUAUAGGAUGGGCAUGCGUCUGAUUAGUUAGUUGGCGGGGUAAUGGCCCACCAAGACGAUGAUCAGUAGGGGUUCUGAGAGGAAGAUCCCCCACACUGGCACUGAGAUACGGGCCAGACUCCUACGGGAGGCAGCAGUAGGGAAUAUUGGUCAAUGGAUGCAAGUCUGAACCAGCCAUGCCGCGUGCAGGAAGAAGGCCUUCGUGGGUUGUAAACUGCUUUUGCCAGGGAUAAAUUCCAUGCGUGGAAACUGAAGGUACCUGGUAGAAUAAGCCACGGCUAACUACGUGCCAG